Molecule: long non-coding RNA, 1091 nt
Filed under: Homo sapiens (human)
Lineage: Eukaryota; Metazoa; Chordata; Mammalia; Primates; Hominidae
Description: non-protein coding lnc-KRR1-4:5
Source: RNAcentral
AGUGGCUGGAGUGGAAGUGAGGAAGAGGGAGAGCUCCUGGGCACCAGAAUGAAUGGGGAGGGUCCUUUAGGGCACUGUGAGGCCAUUAGCUUUUACUCCUACUGAGACUGGACAUCCCAGGAGAGUUUCAGAGCAGAGAAGUGCUAUGACUGCUCUUGAAGUUUAAGAGGACCAGGUGGCUGGCUUUGCUGUGUGUCAGAGAACAGGAGCAGAAACAGGGAGACCAGCUGGGAGGUGACUGCAAAAGUCCAGUGUAUCAUCUUUCUUGCUGCCCUUGAAGAGUGGUGUCCAGUGAAUCUUUCAAAGAAUGAUACUGAGCUUCAUUGUUGAUGAACAAAAAUGCAAAUCUCACCCAGAGCAUGCAGGAACAUGCUAUAAUCACUACACUCCUAGAAUGUGAUCUCUUUCAAUAUUGACUGCAUCCAUGCCUUCCACACACUUGCACCAGUUGGGAGGAUGGAGAUGUCAUCUGGGCAGAGGGAGAAGAGCAGUACCAUUCAGAGGUCUGUCCCUCUUAAGAUAUAUUCUCUCUGUCAACCUAGAACUCAAAGGGCUGUGUGAAAAGUUUACUGUGGAAAAAGAAAUUGAAAAAACUGCCACUAAGUAGCAAUGGAAGGACUUUUCCCGCUAAGAUGAGGAACUGCUCAGAUCACCAGCUGCUUCAGGUUACCAGCCCACACCUGUCUGUCUCACCUCUGACAACCUUGGUAAAGAAACCAAGGCUUAGAGACCUGCUCACAGUCGUUUCGUGAGGGAAUGCAACAUCUGGGUCUAGGGUCCAAAUCUAUCUCUGCUGUGAAGAGGAACUCAUACAGGAGAUCUACAUGAUUACCAAUUCUUGGCCUUGCAGUGGAGGAUAUUAAUUUUAAGUACCUGUGAAAUGAAGUUCUUAAAACCUAAGAUUCCCCAAAACUCCAGUUAUCAACAAGGUUAUAUAGGAAUCAAAGCGAGGCGUUUGGAGUAGAUGCCGAGAUCACCUCUCCCUCACACCUCUGCUGACCCCAGCUACCUGCAAUCCUGCCAGGACCAUUCUGGAGUACCUUUCACUGAAGACAAAUUUAUUGUAAAAUUUCUACUGGGAUUCAUUGUAG